UACCGUGAGGGAAAGGUGAAAAGAACCCUAAAUAAGGGAGUGAAAUAGAACCUGAAACCAGUUAUUUACAAGCGGUCGAAGCCUUCGGGCGACGGCGUGCCUUUUGCAUAAUGAUCCUACGAGUUACUCCUCACUAGCGAGGGUAAGGAUUGAAGAUCCGCACCCGAAGCGAAAGCAAGUCUUAAAUAGGCGCUUAGUUAGUGGGGGUAGACGCGAAACCAAGUGAUCUACC
This 232-nucleotide ribosomal RNA is filed under the name Trieres chinensis. RNAcentral describes it as "partial Bacterial large subunit ribosomal RNA". It matches the Rfam family "Bacterial large subunit ribosomal RNA", at positions 499 to 734 of the family's 2925-position model. The record is from RNAcentral. Lineage: Eukaryota; Bacillariophyta; Thalassiosirophyceae; Eupodiscales; Parodontellaceae.